This 460-nucleotide ribosomal RNA is filed under the name uncultured bacterium. RNAcentral's name for it is "partial 16S ribosomal RNA". It matches the Rfam family "Bacterial small subunit ribosomal RNA", at positions 338 to 795 of the family's 1533-position model. The record is from RNAcentral.
CCUACGGGAGGCAGCAGUGAGGAAUAUUGGUCAAUGGACGCAAGUCUGAACCAGCCAUGCCGCGUGCAGGAAGACGGCUCUAUGAGUUGUAAACUGCUUUUGUACGAGGGUAAACGCAGAUACGCGUAUCUGUCUGAAAGUAUCGUACGAAUAAGGAUCGGCUAACUCCGUGCCAGCAGCCGCGGUAAUACGGAGGAUUCAAGCGUUAUCCGGAUUUAUUGGGUUUAAAGGGUGCGUAGGCGGUCGGAUAAGUUAGAGGUGAAAUCCCGAGGCUCAACUUCGGAAUUGCCUCUGAUACUGUUAGGCUAGAGAGUAGUAGCGGUAGGCGGAAUGUAUGGUGUAGCGGUGAAAUGCUUAGAGAUCAUACAGAACACCGAUUGCGAAGGCAGCUUACCAAGCUACUUCUGACGUUGAGGCACGAAAGCGUGGGGAGCAAACAGGAUUAGAUACCCCAGUAGUC